This 1596-nucleotide ribosomal RNA is filed under the name Campylobacter jejuni. RNAcentral describes it as "partial 23S ribosomal RNA". It matches the Rfam family "Bacterial large subunit ribosomal RNA", at positions 1 to 1614 of the family's 2925-position model. The record is from RNAcentral. Lineage: Bacteria; Pseudomonadati; Campylobacterota; Epsilonproteobacteria; Campylobacterales; Campylobacteraceae.
AGGUAAGCUACUAAGAGCGAAUGGUGGAUGCCUUGACUGGUAAAGGCGAUGAAGGACGUACUAGACUGCGAUAAGCUACGGGGAGCUGUCAAGAAGCUUUGAUCCGUAGAUUUCCGAAUGGGGCAACCCAAUGUAUAGAGAUAUACAUUACCUAUAUAGGAGCGAACGAGGGGAAUUGAAACAUCUUAGUACUCUCAGGAAAAGAAAUCAAUAGAGAUUGCGUCAGUAGCGGCGAGCGAAAGCGCAAGAGGGCAAACCCAGUGCUUGCACUGGGGGUUGUAGGACUGCAAUGUGCAAGAGGUAAGUUUAGCAGAACAUUCUGGAAAGUAUAACCAUAGAGGGUGAUAGUCCCGUAUGCGAAAAACAAACCUUAGCUAGCAGUAUCCUGAGUAGGGCGGGACACGAGGAAUCCUGUCUGAAUCCGGGUCGACCACGAUCCAACCCUAAAUACUAAUACCAGAUCGAUAGUGCACAAGUACCGUGAGGGAAAGGUGAAAAGAACUGAGGUGAUCAGAGUGAAAUAGAACCUGAAACCAUUUGCUUACAAUCAUUCAGAGCCCUAUGUAGCAAUACAGGGUGAUGGACUGCCUUUUGCAUAAUGAGCCUGCGAGUUGUGGUGUCUGGCAAGGUUAAGCAAACGCGAAGCCGUAGCGAAAGCGAGUCUGAAUAGGGCGCUUAGUCAGAUGCUGCAGACCCGAAACGAAGUGAUCUAUCCAUGAGCAAGUUGAAGCUAGUGUAAGAACUAGUGGAGGACUGAACCCAUAGGCGUUGAAAAGCCCCGGGAUGACUUGUGGAUAGGGGUGAAAGGCCAAUCAAACUUCGUGAUAGCUGGUUCUCUCCGAAAUAUAUUUAGGUAUAGCGUUGUGUCGUAAUAUAAGGGGGUAGAGCACUGAAUGGGCUAGGGCAUACACCAAUGUACCAAACCCUAUCAAACUCCGAAUACCUUAUAUGUAAUCACAGCAGUCAGGCGGCGAGUGAUAAAAUCCGUCGUCAAGAGGGAAACAACCCAGACUACCAGCUAAGGUCCCUAAAUCUUACUUAAGUGGAAAACGAUGUGAAGUUACUUAAACAACCAGGAGGUUGGCUUAGAAGCAGCCAUCCUUUAAAGAAAGCGUAAUAGCUCACUGGUCUAGUGAUUUUGCGCGGAAAAUAUAACGGGGCUAAAGUAAGUACCGAAGCUGUAGACUUAGUUUACUAAGUGGUAGGAGAGCGUUCUAUUUGCGUCGAAGGUAUACCGGUAAGGAGUGCUGGAGCGAAUAGAAGUGAGCAUGCAGGCAUGAGUAGCGAUAAUUAAUGUGAGAAUCAUUAACGCCGUAAACCCAAGGUUUCCUACGCGAUGCUCGUCAUCGUAGGGUUAGUCGGGUCCUAAGUCGAGUCCGAAAGGGGUAGACGAUGGCAAAUUGGUUAAUAUUCCAAUACCAACAUUAGUGUGCGAUGGAAGGACGCUUAGGGCUAAGGGGGCUAGCGGAUGGAAGUGCUAGUCUAAGGUCGUAGGAGGUUAUACAGGCAAAUCCGUAUAACAAUACUCCGAGAACUGAAAGGCUUUUUGAAGUCUUCGGAUGGAUAGAAGAACCCCUGAUGCCGUCGAGCCAAGAA